RNAcentral lists this ribosomal RNA (300 nucleotides) under uncultured bacterium. RNAcentral's name for it is "bacterial SSU rRNA". It matches the Rfam family "Bacterial small subunit ribosomal RNA", at positions 1082 to 1377 of the family's 1533-position model. The record is from RNAcentral.
AAGUCCCGCAACGAGCGNAACCCCUAUCCUUAGUUGCCAGCGAUUCGGUCGGGAACUCUAAGGAGACUGCCGGUGAUAAACCGGAGGAAGUGGGGACGACGUCAAGUCAUCAUGGCCCUUACGUGUAGGGCUACACACGUGCUACAAUGGCGCAUACAGAGUGCUGCAAGCUCGCGAGAGUUAGCGAAUCACUUAAAGUGCGUCGUAGUCCGGAUUGGAGUCUGCAACUCGACUCCAUGAAGUCGGAAUCGCUAGUAAUCGCGGAUCAGAAUGCCGCGGUGAAUACGUUCCCGGCGUUCG